GGCAGCCAUUGUAAAUAAGUCCCA
RNAcentral lists this non-coding RNA (24 nucleotides) under Arabidopsis thaliana (thale cress). The record is from RNAcentral. Lineage: Eukaryota; Viridiplantae; Streptophyta; Magnoliopsida; Brassicales; Brassicaceae.